GCGAAAGUGGCGGAACUGGUAGACGCGCUGGAUUUAGGUUCCAGUAGGUAACCCCUGUGGAGGUUCGAGUCCUCUCAUCCGCACCA
This 86-nucleotide transfer RNA is filed under the name Candidatus Competibacteraceae bacterium. RNAcentral's name for it is "tRNA-Leu". It matches the Rfam family "tRNA". From Rfam's summary of the family: Transfer RNA (tRNA) molecules are approximately 80 nucleotides in length. The record is from RNAcentral. Lineage: Bacteria; Pseudomonadati; Pseudomonadota; Gammaproteobacteria; Candidatus Competibacteraceae.